RNAcentral lists this long non-coding RNA (2212 nucleotides) under Homo sapiens (human). Its description in RNAcentral is "LHRI_LNC1984.2". Lineage: Eukaryota; Metazoa; Chordata; Mammalia; Primates; Hominidae. The record is from RNAcentral.
UUGGCCAGGCUGGUCUUGAACUCCUGACCUCAGGUGAUCCACCUGCCUUGGCCUCCCGAAGUGCUAGGAUUACAGGCAUGAGCCACCAUGCCCGGCCUGCGUCAUAACUUUGUGUUUGAAUUGAUAAUUUGUGCAAAUCAGGAAAAUAUAUAUUUAAUUAAGUUGAGCCAUAUGAAUUUGCUGAUAUUCAACCAUUUUGUAAAAACAGGAGUGGCAAUUUCAUAUGGUUCAAUAAAAUAAAAUUGAGGCCGGGCACAGUGGCUUACACCCAUAAUCCCAACACUUUGGGAGGCUGAAGCAGGAGGAUCGCUUGAGCUCAGGAGUUUGAGACCAGACUGAGCAACAUGGCAGAACUCUGUCUCUACAAAAAUACAAAAAUGAGACAGGCAUGGUGGCACAUACCUUUAGUUCAGUUCUAGGUGAUUGGGAGGCUGAGGUGGGAGGAUCGCUUGAACCCAAGAGGCAGAGGAUGCAGUGAGCCAAGAUCAUACCACUGGAAACCAGUCUGGGCAACAGAGUGAGAACCUGUCUCAAACAAACAAACAAACUGGAAUUUAUUUUUAUGUAUGGUAUGAGAAAGGGAUUUGUUUUUUUUUUUUUUUUUUUUUUUUUUUGAUAUGGAGUCUUACUCUGUUGCCCAGGCUGGAGUGCAGUGGCGCCAUCUUGGCUCACUGCAACUUCUGCCUCCUUUCCUUUGUUCAAGCGAUUCUCUUGUCCCUGAGUAGCUGGGAUUACAGGCACCGGCCACCACGCCCAGCUAUUUUUUGUAUUUUUAGUAGAGACAGGGUUUCACCAUGUUGGCCAGGCUGGUCUCAAACUCCUGACCUCAGGCAUUCUGCCCCCCUUGGCCUCCGAAAGUGCUGGGAUCACAGGCAUGAGCCACUGUGCCCAGUCUGAGAAAGGGAUUUAAUUUACUUUUUUUCUUCCAAAUGGAUAGCUCCUUGUCCCAACACUCUCUAUUAGUCUGUCAUUUCCCAAGUGAUUUUAAAUGUCUCCUUUAACAUAUACUAAGAUUACACACACACACACACACACACACACACACACAUACACACAAAUGGACACAUAUAUGUGUGUGUGUGUAUAUAUAUUUUUCUGGACUUUUAAAUUCUAUUGUAUUGAUCCAUUGGUCUGUUUUUCACAGUACUAUUUCAAUUAUUGUGACUUUACAACAUAGUUAACAUCUGGUAAAGUUCUUUCUCUAAUGAAUCUUAACUUUUUUUGGCCCAACUCAUAGAUGAACUUUAAAAUUAACUUGCCAAUUCUAUAAAAUAUGCUGUUGGAAUUUUGAUAAAAUUAUAUUACAUUUAUUAUUUAAUUUGGGGGCAUAAUAUCUGUAUAUUAUUGAGUCUUUUCAUCUAGAAAUAUCUUUUAUGGCCUUCAUUAAAAUUAUAUGGUUAUCCUCAAGAAUUUUCUUUUCUUUUUUUUUGAGACAGGGUCUCACUCUGUCACCCAGGCUGGAGUGGAGUGGCACAAUUUCUGCUCACUCAACUUCCUAGGCCCAGGUGAUCCUCCCACCGCAGCCUCCCAAGUAGCUGGGACUAUAGGCAUGUGCCACCACACCUGGCUGAUUUUUUGUAGAGACUGGGUUUCGCUACAUUGCCCAGGCUGUUCUUGAACUCCUGGACUCAGGUGAUCCGCCCAUGUCAGCCUCCCAAAGUGCUAGGGUUACAGGCAUGAGCUACCAUGCCUGGCAACAGCUUUCAUAUUUGUAAGUUUUUUUUCCUAGGUAACCCAAGGUCUAUUGAAAUUGCAUAUAGCUUUCUUUUCUAUUACAUAUUUAAAUAGAUUUUUUCUGAUUUUAGAAAAGCUGUAGAUUUUUAUAUGUUAAUCUUGUUUCCUUUCUGAAAGUUUUUAUUAGCCCAUAUAGAUUUAUGUGAUUCACUGGAUUUUCUAGGUAUAAAUCUACCUUGCCAAUAUUCAUACUUAUUUCUUUUUUUUCUGGUAUUUUUACGUUGCCUGGUAACUCUAGGAAAAUGUCUACUAUUGAUGAUAAAAGUAAGCAUCAUUAUGUGUUGUUUCUGAGUUCUAUGGAGAUGUGGUCUAAUGUUUUGUUCUUCAGAAUAAUGUUUGGAGAUUGGCAAAAUGUUGAUUAUUGUUGAAGAUGAGUGACAGGUCCAUAGCGGCCAUUAAUCUAUUUUCUCUAUGCUUGUGUAUGUUUGAAAAUUUCCAUAAUAAAAGAGUUAAAUUCUACAAAGAGUCAAAUUUAAAA